Molecule: long non-coding RNA, 1673 nt
Organism: Thalassophryne amazonica
Lineage: Eukaryota; Metazoa; Chordata; Actinopteri; Batrachoidiformes; Batrachoididae
Exons: 2
Source: RefSeq, a predicted model, not a curated record
UAUUGCCAUAAUUAUUUAUAUACCUGUCCUGGUGCUGGUCUCUGUAUUUUUAAUGUGACACGUCGUGUGCACUGAGCCGUCAGUUCCAGCUGUCAGUGUGCUGCGAUCAGCUGACAGGCACCUCACUGUGCUGUGAGUGCUCAGAGGUGGCUGUCCGGCCCCCAUGUGAUCAUGUCUGUAGACACAUAUCAAUAUUUUAUGCAAGUGUGCCCCCCCCCUGCACAGCACAUGUGUUGGGAGGAGUGGGGGGGUGGGGGGUGGGUGAUACACUCGCCCACGUGCAAUACACACGCUCGCUACGUGUGUUGCUUUUUACAACACCACACUCAUGGGGGAACUUAGACAAAUUUCACAUCCAGCAUGAAAGUGAUCGUCUGCUCACUGUUUUUUGCUAACAACGCGAAUGGCCACACAUUUUCUAAGUAUCCAGCGAGCGGUGUUGGAUGUUCGUGUGUGUCACCUGGAAUUUGGCCUACAUCUGCUGCGAGAGGGAUCAAAUGGGCUGUGACAGGGCACUCUGUCUUUUGGCCGCUAGUGUGCGCGAAUAGCUGUAAUGACAGGUGUACGAGGCGUUGGAGGCAGCUCCGAUUUUUCACAAAUGGCAUGCAAUUCCUCCUUUGUGCGCUCCUCGGCUUCAGUCGUGUUACGUGUGAAGGGACUCUUAAAAAUGCAGAACCUCAAGAUCUUUAUCUGAACUUCACUUCAAUCUCAGCUGGCAUCAACAAACUGAGUUACAGCAACAAAAUGACAGGCAUGAAAAUCAAACAUGCAAGCUCCCACAAAACGGAAGGAUUAUGUAGCCUGAUAUUACAUCCACACCAUCAUGUUCUUCUGACAUCCAACACAGACAAGUCCCCGUCUUUCCAGACACUACAACAUAUAAUGUCUUCACAGUUUAUCACCAACUACCUUCUAAGAUGUCUUCCUGAGAUUGUGGCAUUUACUUGAAGUCUUUCCAAAUGAAUUUCGGCAAUGUUUCUUCGAUACUUUAAACAGUGGACCAGGUUGAAACGUGCAUCUAAUCUAAACCGUUUGAAGUCCUAUGUCAUAUUUUAUAAGUGCCUGCAAAUUACUGCUAAACACACUGUUUAGUAUUUUAAGAUGAUGCAAUCCUAAAAACUGACUGAAGCUUGACUAAAAGAACAAUGUGUAACAUUUCUGAAUAUUAUUGUACUAUCAGGUAAACCUUUCAGUUUAGUAGUAACUAAACUGAAUGUCGCAUCUCAACAUUAAACAACAUAACACUGAAUAUCUUUCUUCUGGUGGAACGCUUUAGACAUAUAAUGUACUGUAUAUUGUGUCAGGAUAGAACAUAAUAGUUAAAAUCCAUUAACAUUUUUUUUAAUAAAGAUCUUCAAGCUUUGCCACCAGACCCAGUAUUUCUAUUUUUCAACACACAGUUACUCAGAUGUCAAUCUUCUUUUAAAAAGCAGCACAUUAUAUCCAUAUUUUAUUUUCUAAUUAUAUAUUAUUUCUGCUUUGCAUGAUUUACUGACUUUUAAACAAUGCAAAAAUGAAAUCCAUGAAAGCAUAUUUGUUUCAUUUUGAAAGGAUUGAAGGAUGUAUUUUAAUGAGGAUUAUCAAGCCUUGUUUAAAAUGGUAUAUUUAUAACUGUAACAAGGAGUUUUAUUGUAACACCUCAGCAAUGUAAAUAAACACUGAACUUAAAUGCA